Non-coding RNA from Haemonchus placei, 74 nucleotides. The record is from Rfam. NCBI's taxonomy places the organism in Eukaryota, Metazoa, Nematoda, Chromadorea, Rhabditida, Trichostrongylidae.
GGCACAAAUUUGAAGUAGGUAGAUUAUUAGGAUCAGCUGACCCUUCUGAACUACUCUACUUCAAGUUUGUGCCC